AUUCUCAGUUCAAGUAUUACAAUUUAGUGAGUCCCGUGCUCUUUCAAGUUCAGAGAUGUAGGGGCAUUAAUGGAAAAAAGAGCAGCAGAGAUGUGAAAAAUACAGCAUAUAAAACAUUAAAACAAUCUAUACUCGUUCAUAUAACCUAACAAUCCCAUAUUCCCAUAUGUUCAAAUGCAAGUAAAAAAAUUAUCUAUGAAACAAACUCAAAAGAAAAGAAGGAUGACAUGUAACAAAUCGAAAGAAACAACUCCUCUAAACAAUGCCACUAAAUAAGUUGCCAAGAAGCAGUGAACAAUCUUUACUUGGUUUGAAACAACCAUAUCAUGGGCAUCCGUACCCUCUAGAAUAAACAAGCAAUGCAUCACUUCCUGCCUAAUAUAAGUCUUAGAAGACCCUCAUCACACAUUGGCUUUAACUUCAGUACUCUCCUUUGCUUCUGUUUUAUUUUCUUCAGAUGUAACAUCCUUUUGGCUCUCUGUACCUACUGCAGCUUCAAUUGGUUUCAGUGUUUUGGCCUCCUCAUAAGCACUAGCAACAUCAUCUGAGGCUUCUAUUUUCUUUUCCUCGGAUGUCCCAUUGGUUUGGCUCUCUACAGCUGGUGCAGGUUCAAUUGCUUUCUCUGUUCCAUUGGCAACAUCUGGAGCUUCGGUUGGUGCAAUUUCAAUUUUUUUCUGUGUUUCAGCCUUCUCAGGAGCAUUGACAACUUCUGAAAGAUGCGUCUGUCGAACUGGAGUUUCCGACUCUUGAGCAUCAACAACUGGGAUAGGGGUCAGUUCAACUGGAGUUCCAUGCUUUUGAGUAUCAACAACUGGGGCAAGGGUCACUUCAAUUGGAGUUUCUGGAUUUUGAGCAUCAACAUCUUGGACAGGGGGAGUUUCAGAUUUUUCAACCUCUGAAAGCUUGGUUUCAGAUUCAUCUGUAGGUUUUUUAUCCACAGAUGGUUCUUCUUGUUUUAGUGGCUCCGCUGCUGGAUUACCAUCUCCCGUUGAGUCCUUCCCUUCCUCAUUCUACAUAAAAGCAUGAGCUCCAGCAUGAACCGUCCUUAUUCAGUUGGAUAGCCCUCUGUCCUAUUGGGUACUUCUUUCCUCAUGAAUAGAGACUUUUAAGGCUUUUUGUCUUAUCCUAA
Quercus robur (English oak) is the source of this 1129-nucleotide long non-coding RNA. RefSeq lists it as uncharacterized. The transcript has 2 exons. Lineage: Eukaryota; Viridiplantae; Streptophyta; Magnoliopsida; Fagales; Fagaceae. The record is from RefSeq and is a predicted model, not a curated record.